GCGGGUGUAGCACAACGGCUAGUGCACUAGAUUGCCAAUCUAGGUAUGGGGGUUCGACUCCCCUCACCCGCU
Molecule: transfer RNA, 72 nt
Filed under: Candidatus Parcubacteria bacterium
Lineage: Bacteria; Candidatus Parcubacteria
Description: tRNA-Gly
Rfam family: tRNA
About the family: Transfer RNA (tRNA) molecules are approximately 80 nucleotides in length. Their secondary structure includes four short double-helical elements and three loops (D, anti-codon, and T loops).
Source: RNAcentral